AGACAAGGUGUUAUUCUUGACCGACAUUAUGUAACUCCAAAAUGUUCUCCUUCGCGAGCUUCUCUGCUAACGGGCAGAUAUGCUUGGAAGAUGGGAGUGCAGCGAGGAGCCAUUGAAAGAUACCAACCAACAGGACUUUCAGCAAAUUUUACCCUCCUACCACAAAGACUAAAGGAAGCUGGAUAUGUGACGCAUGCUGUAGGAAAGUGGCAUCUAGGAUAUUGUAAUGAAAAAUAUCUUCCUACAAGAAGAGGAUUCGAUACGUUCUUCGGUAUUUACCAGCAAGCAGUAAACUAUAGAAACAGGUAGAAUAAUUUACCAGCAAGCAGUAAACUAUAGAAACAGGUAGAAUAAUUUAC
Eurytemora carolleeae is the source of this 359-nucleotide long non-coding RNA. RefSeq lists it as uncharacterized. The transcript is spliced from 5 exons. The record is from RefSeq and is a predicted model, not a curated record. NCBI's taxonomy places the organism in Eukaryota, Metazoa, Arthropoda, Copepoda, Calanoida, Temoridae.